This 447-nucleotide ribosomal RNA is filed under the name uncultured bacterium. RNAcentral describes it as "bacterial SSU rRNA". It matches the Rfam family "Bacterial small subunit ribosomal RNA", at positions 355 to 825 of the family's 1533-position model. The record is from RNAcentral.
UGGGGAAUAUUGGACAAUGGGCGCAAGCCUGAUCCAGCCAUGCCGCGUGGAUGAAGAAGGCCCUAGGGUUGUAAAGUCCUUUCGACGGAGACGAUAAUGACGGUAUCCGUAGAAGAAGCCCCGGCUAAUUUCGUGCCAGCAGCCGCGGUAAUACGUAGGGACCAAGCGUUGUUCGGAUUUACUGGGCGUAAAGGGCGCGUAGGCGGUGUGUCAAGUCAGUUGUGAAAUCUCCGGGCUUAACUCGGAACGGUCAACUGAUACUGUCACACUAGAGUACAGAAGGGGCAAUCGGAAUUCUUGGUGUAGCGGUGAAAUGCGUAGAUAUCAAGAGGAACACCUGAGGUGAAGACGGGUUGCUGGGCUGACACUGACGCUGAGGCGCGAAAGCCAGGGGAGCAAACGGGAUUAGAUACCCACGUAGUCCCUGAGCGGGCUGGCAAGGCGCAU